GUUGCCACCGAGCCCCAGGUCCACUGCUGCCCUCCUGCCCCAGCGCAGCCAAGGCUGAGCCCCCAGGCAAAGCGGGGAUGGGCUCUGCAGAGCUGCUGGGAGCACGCAGCCCUCCCUCCACCAGCUGCCUUCUCGCUCACACCAGCGCCCGGCUCAGCCCCUGCUGACAAGCCACUUAUCAGCAGUUAUCAGGUCUUGGCUGGAGGCAGAAGAAAACAAACACAUCGUUUGACAAAUGCAGGCCCUACUGCAGUCCCUACUGGAACUCCUAUAGCUCCUGUAAGAUCAGCACUAUGCCCUGUACUUCAAGUCUAUUUCUGCAAGCGCUUCCUAUUGAAAAAGCUUCAAGUCCCCCUUGCAUUCAGCAGCAAUCCCUGCUCUUCCAGAUCCCUGCCCCACAGGGGCACGUGGACCAGCAGGCAGCUCUCCAUCAGUAUGCAGUCUGAGAGGGACUCAGGGAAAAAGCAACCCUCUCACCUCACCCACCGUGGCAGAAUGCAGGCACUGCUGCGAGGUGCUGCAGCUGAUGUGUGCCCUGCAGAACAGCUGCAGGCAGAGGGCAGCUCCGUGCUCAGCCAGGAGCAGCUCCAGGCACCCCGGCCUGCCAGGUCCAUGCCUUGCCAAGCACACUGCACAAGUCAGGCCCAUUCGUUUUGUAGCUGUUUUCAACGUGUCAGAUACCA
This 683-nucleotide long non-coding RNA is filed under the name Gallus gallus (chicken). RNAcentral's name for it is "lncRNA (ENSGALG00010020621.1)". The record is from RNAcentral. Lineage: Eukaryota; Metazoa; Chordata; Aves; Galliformes; Phasianidae.